GAGUUUGAUCAUGGCUCAGAUUGAACGCUGGCGGCAUGCUUUACACAUGCAAGUCGAACGGCAGCGCGGGCUUCGGCCUGGCGGCGAGUGGCGAACGGGUGAGUAAUAUAUCGGAACGUACCCAAGAGUGGGGGAUAACGUAGCGAAAGUUACGCUAAUACCGCAUACGAUCUAAGGAUGAAAGCAGGGGAUCGCAAGACCUUGUGCUCCUGGAGCGGCCGAUAUCUGAUUAGCUAGUUGGUGAGGUAAAGGCUCACCAAGGCAACGAUCAGUAGCUGGUCUGAGAGGACGACCAGCCACACUGGAACUGAGACACGGUCCAGACUCCUACGGGAGGCAGCAGUGGGGAAUUUUGGACAAUGGGGGCAACCCUGAUCCAGCCAUGCCGCGUGAGUGAAGAAGGCCUUC
Molecule: ribosomal RNA, 408 nt
Filed under: uncultured beta proteobacterium
Lineage: Bacteria; Pseudomonadati; Pseudomonadota; Betaproteobacteria
Description: bacterial SSU rRNA
Rfam family: Bacterial small subunit ribosomal RNA
Source: RNAcentral